This is a long non-coding RNA of Arvicola amphibius (Eurasian water vole), 579 nucleotides long. RefSeq lists it as uncharacterized. The record is from RefSeq and is a predicted model, not a curated record. The transcript has 4 exons. NCBI's taxonomy places the organism in Eukaryota, Metazoa, Chordata, Mammalia, Rodentia, Cricetidae.
GCUGGUCUAGCUUCUGAGCUGAGAUCAGACUCCUGGCAUGGGCCUGUGGCUUCCACAAGAGUCCGAUAAUCAACGAAAGAUCCUGCAUUAUCAACUGUGAACUCAUACCUAGAAGAGACAGUUAAUGUUGUAAACAUAUGAAUGGCUGCUGGCCCAUCUCUGUGGGCCAAGAGACAGAUUCCAGCUGAAAGGAGAAUAAAGCAAAAGCUUUGUGAUGAGUAAUUAAGGCAGGGGUCAUGUGAAGCUGUGCUUCAGGGAUCAGUACUUUUGACAACCUGUGCUGACUCCGUGCUCCCUGUUGUGAGGAGGCUGGUGCUGAUGGACAAGAAAAUACAGUGGAAAGUCAGUCCUACCUUCAAAGAUGUCAUCCUCUGAUGCUAGUGUGGGUCAACACAUGGCUCUUUUAAGGGGUUUAACUAGCAGGGUGGCGGGACGCAGCUUGCUCCUCAUACUACAAACUGCAACCUGGACGUGGAGGAUGAUCAGCCUCUUUCAGGAACAGGGAACAGGUAAGCUCUCCUAUGAGGAAAUGCUGGAUGGAAAAGAGAAGCCAGUAUAAAAGGCAAUGAAAGCCAAAGA